This 433-nucleotide ribosomal RNA is filed under the name uncultured bacterium. RNAcentral's name for it is "partial 16S ribosomal RNA". It matches the Rfam family "Bacterial small subunit ribosomal RNA", at positions 29 to 507 of the family's 1533-position model. The record is from RNAcentral.
AACGAACGCUGGCGGCAUGCCUAACACAUGCAAGUCGAACGAGACCUUCGGGUCUAGUGGCGCACGGGUGCGUAACGCGUGGGAACCUGCCCUUAGGUUCGGAAUAACUCCCCGAAAGGGGUGCUAAUACCGGAUAAUGUCUUCGGACCAAAGAUUUAUCGCCUUUGGAUGGGCCCGCGUUGGAUUAGCUAGUUGGUAGGGUAAAAGCCUACCAAGGCGACGAUCCAUAACUGGUCUGAGAGGAUGAUCAGCCACACUGGGCCUGAGACACGGUCCAGACUCUUACGGAAAGAAGCAAUGGGGAAUAUUGGAAACUGGGCGAAGAGAUGAUCCACCAAUGGCGGGUGAAUGCUGAAAGCCUUAGGGAUGUAAAGCUCAUUUACCCGGGAUAAUAAUGACAGUACCGGGAGAAUAAGCACCGGCUAGCUCCGUG